Molecule: ribosomal RNA, 301 nt
Filed under: uncultured bacterium
Lineage: Bacteria
Description: partial 16S ribosomal RNA
Rfam family: Bacterial small subunit ribosomal RNA
Source: RNAcentral
CAGCCGCCGCGGGAAUACGAAGGGUGCAAGCGUUAAUCGGAAUUACUGGGCGUAAAGCGUGCGUAGGCGGUGAGUUAAGUCUGCUGUGAAAUCCCCGGGCUCAACCUGGGAAUGGCAAUGGAUACUGGCAAGCUAGAGUGUGUCAGAGGAUGGUGGAAUUCCCGGUGUAGCGGUGAAAUGCGUAGAGAUCGGGAGGAACAUCAGUGGCGAAGGCGGCCAUCUGGGACAACACUGACGCUGAGGCACGAAAGCGUGGGGAGCAAACAGGAUUAGAUACCCGGUAGUCCCUGUCUCUUAUACA